GGGUUGUAAAGUACUUUCAGCAGUGAGGAAGGAGGUAUCGUUAAUAGCGGUAUCUUUUGACGUUAGCUGCAGAAGAAGCACCGGCUAACUCCGUGCCAGCAGCCGCGGUAAUACGGAGGGUGCGAGCGUUAAUCGGAAUAACUGGGCGUAAAGCGCAUGCAGGUGGUUUGUUAAGUCAGAUGUGAAAGCCCGGGGCUCAACCUCGGAAUUGCAUUUGAAACUGGCAGGCUAGAGUACUGUAGAGGGGGGUAGAAUUUCAGGUGUAGCGGUGAAAUGCGUAGAGAUCUGAAGGAAUACCGGUGGCGAAGGCGGCCCCCUGGACAGAUACUGACACUCAGAUGCGAAAGCGUGGGGAGCAAACAGGAUUAGAUACCCUGGUAGUCCACGCCGUAAACGAUGUCUACUUGGAGGUUGUGGCCUUGAGCCGUGGCUUUCGGAGCUAACGCGUUAAGUAGACCGCCUGGGGAGUACGGUCGCAAGAUUAAAACUCAAAUGAAUUGACGGGGGCCCGCACAAGCGGUGGAGCAUGUGGUUUAAUUGGAUGCAACGCGAAGAACCUUACCUACUCUU
RNAcentral lists this ribosomal RNA (570 nucleotides) under Vibrio fluvialis. Its description in RNAcentral is "bacterial SSU rRNA". It matches the Rfam family "Bacterial small subunit ribosomal RNA", at positions 420 to 982 of the family's 1533-position model. The record is from RNAcentral. Lineage: Bacteria; Pseudomonadati; Pseudomonadota; Gammaproteobacteria; Vibrionales; Vibrionaceae.